This 73-nucleotide transfer RNA is filed under the name Stegodyphus mimosarum. It matches the Rfam family "tRNA". From Rfam's summary of the family: Transfer RNA (tRNA) molecules are approximately 80 nucleotides in length. Lineage: Eukaryota; Metazoa; Arthropoda; Arachnida; Araneae; Eresidae. The record is from Rfam by way of RNAcentral.
GCCUUCGUGGUGUAGUGGUCAGCACGCAGGGUACGUACUCCAGAGAUCUGUGGUUCGAGUCCCGGCGAAGGCA